Molecule: ribosomal RNA, 253 nt
Filed under: uncultured bacterium
Lineage: Bacteria
Description: partial 16S ribosomal RNA
Rfam family: Bacterial small subunit ribosomal RNA
Source: RNAcentral
UACGUAGGGGGCAAGCGUUGUCCGGAUUUAUUGGGCGUAAAGAGCGUGUAGGCGGCUAGGUAGGUCUGCUGUGAAAACUCGAGGCUUAACCUCGAGAUGUCGGCGGAAACCAUCUGGCUAGAGUCCGGAAGAGGAGAGUGGAAUUCCUGGUGUAGCGGUGAAAUGCGCAGAUAUCAGGAAGAACACCCGUGGCGAAGGCGGCUCUCUGGGACGGUACUGACGCUGAGACGCGAAAGCGUGGGGAGCGAACAGG